ACUGGUGCCAGCAGCGCGGUAAUUCCAGCUCCAAUAGCGUAUAUUAAGUUGUUGCAGUUAAAAAGCUCGUAGUUGAAUUUCGGGGUUAGUAGGUUGGUCAUGCCUCUGGUAUGUACUGGUCUCACUGAUUCCUCCUUCCUGAUGAGCCGUAAUGCCAUUAAUUUGGUGUUGCGGGAAUUUGGACUGUUACUUUGAAAAAAUUAGAGUGUUUAAAGCAAGCUAACGCUUGAAUACAUUAGCAUGGAAUAAUGAAAUAGGACGUUCGAUCCUAAUUUUGUUGGUUUCUAGGAUUGACGUAAUGAUUAAUAGGGAUAAUUGGGGGCAUUAGUAUUCAAUUGUCAGAGGUGAAAUUCUUGGAUUUAUUGAAAGACUAACUACUGCGAAAGCAUUUGCCAAGGAUGUUUUCAUUAAUCAAGAACGAAAGUUAGGGGAUCGAAGACGAUCAGAUACCGUCGUAGUCUUAACCAUAAACUAUGCCGACUAGGGAUCGGAUGAUGUUAAUUUUUUUAAUGACUCAUUCGGCGCCUUACG
RNAcentral lists this ribosomal RNA (531 nucleotides) under uncultured Glomus. Its description in RNAcentral is "SSU rRNA". It matches the Rfam family "Eukaryotic small subunit ribosomal RNA", at positions 560 to 1092 of the family's 1831-position model. Lineage: Eukaryota; Fungi; Glomeromycota; Glomeromycetes; Glomerales; Glomeraceae. The record is from RNAcentral.